This 1092-nucleotide long non-coding RNA is filed under the name Chrysemys picta bellii (western painted turtle). Its description in RNAcentral is "lncRNA (ENSCPBG00000021538.1)". Lineage: Eukaryota; Metazoa; Chordata; Testudines; Emydidae. The record is from RNAcentral.
GGGGCCAUCAUGAUCAUCUGGCCUGACCUCCUGCUCCCUGCAGGCCACAGAACCUCACCCGCCCACUCCUGUAAUAGACCCCUGAGAUUCACACUGCAUCGGAACAUUUUAGGCAUAUGAAAAAGUUCUGUUACUAUGUUUUUAUUUAUCACUGACUUUCAUGCCCUUGGAACUUCCUGCUUUCAUCUGUGAUGGAAACCAUCUAGGAGUUAUUGAAACACCCCCAGAGAGGUGUUUCUCUUCAGGCCAUCUCCAGCCGCGCUGAAUCCAAGCAGCGCUGAGAAUCUCAGCCCCGGGCUGCUCCAAAGAGAUUGGAGAAGAAUCUGAAUAUCUGGCUGCUCGUCCAAGCCUGAGGCAGCUCGUCCAUCAAGGAUGUGUGAGUGUAGAUGACAGCGAUGCAAACGUCACUCUCCCGGCUGUACACAUCCAUCCUGCUGAGUUUAACUAUUGCUACAGUGCAGAAGAGGCUGCAACUGAGCAUCAAUUCUGGAACAUUUCCCUCCGAGAGUCACAGAAGUUAAAGACAGACACCACCUCUUGGUCACCUGGUUCCCUUUCCCUACAGCCCUUGGCUGCUCCCUGCAGAAUAUCCUACUGAGCGUUGUCUGGCCUGGUUUCCAACGUCCCAGCACUCAUCCUCGCCUCUCUGUGUCGGCAGUCGGGCCUGCUGACAUUUCCAGCAGCCCUGUCCACCUCGCUCCGGAGAAGAUGGUGUGGACGAUGGUGCAGAUAACACAAGCAUGGGAAAAGAUGGAGCCUGCCCCGCCCGAGCAGUCCUCCUGGCAAAGGGUUCUGGGCACGGUUCUCUCAGGUGGAUGGACACUGCCACUAAUGGAAUAAAAGAAGGUCACGGAUCAAUGAGAAACAAGCUUCCUCCAUCCCUUCAGCGCCAUCCUGAGCAGCUGGACGCUACGGCCUGGAUCCUGCAAGCCUAUUCCUGAGGUGCAGCCAGGAGGCCCCGGGGGCAGAACACCGGGUAAUGGGGAACGGAGGAUGUGCAUGGAUGUAAGGAAGGGUAAGUGCUGGGCACAGCCCUUCCCGCUGAGCUGAGGUCGCAGGGCCUUGGCGUGUCUGCUGCCUCACUCUGAAGCA